AUUGCCUUAGUAACGGCGAGUGAAGCGGCAACAGCUCAAAUUUGAAAUCUGGUCCCCCCGGGGCCCGAGUUGUAAUUUGCAGAGGGUGCUUCGGCGUCGGCUCCGGUCCAAGUUCCUUGGAACAGGACGUCACAGAGGGUGAGAACCCCGUACGUGGCCGGAAGUCUUCGCCGUGUGAAGCCCCUUCGACGAGUCGAGUUGUUUGGGAAUGCAGCUCUAAAUGGGAGGUAAAUUUCUUCUAAAGCUAAAUACCGGCCAGAGACCGAUAGCGCACAAGUAGAGUGAUCGAAAGAUGAAAAGCACUUUGGAAAGAGAGUUAAAAAGCACGUGAAAUUGUUGAAAGGGAAGCAGUUGCAGCCAGACUUGGCCGCGGGCGUUCAUCCGUGCUUCUGCACGGUGUACUCGACCGCGGUCAGGCCAGCAUCAGUUCGGGCGGCCGGAUAAAGGUCCCGGGAAUGUGGCUCCCCUCGGGGAGUGUUAUAGCCCGGGGCGUAAUACGACCAGCCUGGACUGAGGUCCGCGCUUCGGCUAGGAUGCUGGCAUAAUGGCUGUAACUGGCCCGUCUUGAAACACGGACCAAGGAGUCUAACAUCUAUGCGAGUGUUUGGGUGUCAAACCCAUACGCGUAAUGAAAGUGAACGGAGGUGAGAGCCGCAAGGCGCAUCAUCGACCGAUCCUGAUGUCUUCGGAUGGAUUUGAGUAUGAGCAUAGCUGUUGGGACCCGAAAGAUGGUGAACUAUGCCUGAAUAGGGUGAAGCCAGAGGAAACUCUGGUGGAGGCUCGCAGCGGUUCUGACGUGCAAAUCGAUCGUCAAAUUUGGGUAUAGGGGCGAAAGACUAAUCGAACCAUCUAGUAGCUGGUUCCUGCCGAAGUUUCCCUCAGGAUAGCAGUAACGUUUUCAGUUUCAUGGGGUAAAGCGAAUGAUUAGAGGCAUGGGGGGUUGAAACAACCUUCACCUAUUCUCAAACUUUAAAUAUG
This 978-nucleotide ribosomal RNA is filed under the name Valsaria sp. KUC21259. RNAcentral describes it as "eukaryotic LSU rRNA". It matches the Rfam family "Eukaryotic large subunit ribosomal RNA", at positions 74 to 1073 of the family's 3401-position model. Lineage: Eukaryota; Fungi; Ascomycota; Dothideomycetes; Valsariales; Valsariaceae. The record is from RNAcentral.